This 433-nucleotide ribosomal RNA is filed under the name uncultured bacterium. RNAcentral describes it as "partial 16S ribosomal RNA". It matches the Rfam family "Bacterial small subunit ribosomal RNA", at positions 29 to 507 of the family's 1533-position model. The record is from RNAcentral.
AACGAACGCUGGCGGCAUGCCUAACACAUGCAAGUCGAACGAUGCCUUCGGGCUUAGUUGCGCACGGGUACGUACCGAGUGGGAAGCAGCCUUUCAGUUCGGAGUCACUGAGGGAGACUUGAGUUAAUACAGGAUAACGUCGUAAGACAAACGAUGUAUCACCGCAAGAUGAGGCCGCGUAGGAUUAGCUAGUUGGUGAGGUAAAGGCGACCCAACGCGACGAUCCUUAGCUGGUCUGAGAGGAUGAGCAGCCACACUGGGACUGAGACACGGCCCAGACUCCUACGGGAGGCAGCAGUGGGGAAUAUUGGACAAUGGGCGAAAGCCUGAUCCAGCAAUGCCGCGUGAGUGAUGAAGGCCUUAGGGUUGUAAAGCUCUUUUACCCGGGAAGAUAAUGACGGUACCGGGAGAAUAAGCCCCGGCUAACUCCGUG